GAUGAACGCUGGCGGCGUGCUUAACACAUGCAAGUCGAACGGUGAAGCAGAGCUUGCUCUGUGGAUCAGUGGCGAACGGGUGAGUAGCACGUGAGCAACCUGCCCCGGACUCUGGGAUAAGCGCUGGAAACGGCGUCUAAUACCGGAUACGAGAUUCCACCGCAUGGUGAGUUUCUGGAAAGAUUUUUUGGUCUGGGAUGGGCUCACGGCCUAUCAGCUUGUUGGUGAGGUAAUGGCUCACCAAGGCGUCGACGGGUAGCCGGCCUGAGAGGGGGACCGGGCACACCGGGACUGGGACACGGCCCAGACUCCUACGGGAGGCAGCAGUGGGGAAUAUUGCACAAUGGGCGGAAGCCUGAUGCAGCAACGCCGCGUUAGGGAUGACGGCCUUCGGGUUGUAAACCUCUUUUAGCAGGGAAGAAGCGAAAGUGACGGUACCUGCAGAAAAAGCGCCGGCUAACUACGUGCCAGCAGCCGCCGUAA
RNAcentral lists this ribosomal RNA (483 nucleotides) under uncultured bacterium. RNAcentral describes it as "partial 16S ribosomal RNA". It matches the Rfam family "Bacterial small subunit ribosomal RNA", at positions 28 to 523 of the family's 1533-position model. The record is from RNAcentral.